This 561-nucleotide ribosomal RNA is filed under the name uncultured bacterium. Its description in RNAcentral is "partial 16S ribosomal RNA". It matches the Rfam family "Bacterial small subunit ribosomal RNA", at positions 355 to 909 of the family's 1533-position model. The record is from RNAcentral.
UGGGGAAUUUUGGACAAUGGGGGAAACCCUGAUCCAGCCAUCCCGCGUGUGCGAUGAAGGCCUUCGGGUUGUAAAGCACUUUUGGCAGGAAAGAAANGUCGCGGGUUAAUACCCCGCGAAACUGACGGUACCUGCAGAAUAAGCACCGGCUAACUACGUGCCAGCAGCCGCGGUAAUACGUAGGGUGCAAGCGUUAAUCGGAAUUACUGGGCGUAAAGCGUGCGCAGGCGGUUCGGAAAGAAAGAUGUGAAAUCCCAGAGCUUAACUUUGGAACUGCAUUUUUAACUACCGGGCUAGAGUGUGUCAGAGGGAGGUGGAAUUCCGCGUGUAGCAGUGAAAUGCGUAGAUAUGCGGAGGAACACCGAUGGCGAAGGCAGCCUCCUGGGAUAACACUGACGCUCAUGCACGAAAGCGUGGGGAGCAAACAGGAUUAGAUACCCUGGUAGUCCACGCCCUAAACGAUGUCAACUAGCUGUUGGGGCCUUCGGGCCUUGGUAGCGCAGCUAACGCGUGAAGUUGACCGCCUGGGGAGUACGGUCGCAAGAUUAAAACUCAAAGGAA